GACGAACCGUGCGAACGUUGUUCGGAAUCACUGGGCUUAAAGGGCGCGUAGGCGGCUUGUCAAGUCAGGGGUGAAAUCUUUCGGCUCAACCGGAAAAGUGCCUUUGAUACUGACAGGCUAGAGGGAGGUAGGGGUAUGUGGAACUUCUGGUGGAGCGGUGAAAUGCGUUAUAUCAGAAGGAACGCCGGUGGCGAAAGCGACGUACUGGACCUCUUCUGACGCUGAGGCGCGAAAGCUAGGGGAGCAAACGGG
This 252-nucleotide ribosomal RNA is filed under the name uncultured bacterium. Its description in RNAcentral is "partial 16S ribosomal RNA". It matches the Rfam family "Bacterial small subunit ribosomal RNA", at positions 524 to 776 of the family's 1533-position model. The record is from RNAcentral.